Molecule: ribosomal RNA, 429 nt
Filed under: uncultured marine bacterium
Lineage: Bacteria
Description: bacterial SSU rRNA
Rfam family: Bacterial small subunit ribosomal RNA
Source: RNAcentral
AAUUUUCCGCAAUGGGCGAAAGCCUGACGGAGCAAUACCGCGUGAGGGAGGAAGGCUCUUGGGUUGUAAACCUCUUUUCUCAAGGAAGAAGUUCUGACGGUACUUGAGGAAUAAGCAUCGGCUAACUCCGUGCCAGCAGCCGCGGUAAUACGGAGGAUGCAAGCGUUAUCCGGAAUGAUUGGGCGUAAAGCGUCCGCAGGUGGUUAUGCAAGUCUACUGUUAAAGAGUGAAGCUUAACUUCAUAAUGGCGGUGGAAACUGCAUGACUAGAGUGCGUUCGGGGCAGAGGGAAUUCCUGGUGUAGCGGUGAAAUGCGUAGAUAUCAGGAAGAACACCGGUGGCGAAAGCGCUCUGCUAGGCCGUAACUGACACUGAGGGACGAAAGCUAAGGGAGCGAAUGGGAUUAGAUACCCCAGUAGUCUUAGCCGUA